CUUAAUGAGACAGAGUAAUGUGCUAGACUUAAACCCUAGUUAUGAGAUUUCUCCAUUAAGG
This 61-nucleotide transfer RNA is filed under the name Stygobromus tenuis potomacus. RNAcentral describes it as "tRNA-Leu". The record is from RNAcentral. Lineage: Eukaryota; Metazoa; Arthropoda; Malacostraca; Amphipoda; Crangonyctidae.